This 405-nucleotide ribosomal RNA is filed under the name uncultured bacterium. RNAcentral's name for it is "partial 16S ribosomal RNA". It matches the Rfam family "Bacterial small subunit ribosomal RNA", at positions 30 to 526 of the family's 1533-position model. The record is from RNAcentral.
AUUGAACGCUGGCGGCAGGCCUAACACAUGCAAGUCGAACGAGUGGCGGACGGGCGCGUAAUGUCUGGGAAACUGCCCGAUGGAGGGGGAUAACUACUGGAAACGGUAGCUAAUACCGCAUACCAUCGGAUGUGCCCAGAUGGGUUUAGCUAGUAGGUGGGGUAACGGUUCACCUAGGCGCAGCUCCCUAGCUGGUCUGAGAGGAUGACCGGCCAAACGGGAACUGAGACACGGGCCAGACUCCUACGGGAGGCAGCAGUGGGGAAUAUUGCACAUGGGCGAAAGCCUGAUGCAGCCAUGCCGCGUGGAUGAAGAAGGCCUUCGGGUUGUAAAGUACUUUCAGCGAGGAGGCGUUACUCGAAGAAGAAGCACCGGCUAACUCCGUGCUAGCAGCCGCGGUAAUAC